GGGGAUAGCAGGAAGGAGGCGUCUCCCAAGGGGCUGGGAGGAGAAAGAAACACAUACAGCCUGAAGGGAGCGGAGCUUGUCUUUGUGAGUGAAAACGUUUCUGUCUUCGGUGUGCAAAUGGAGAUGCUGCUGUUGGAGUUUAGCCCACGGGAGUGUCAUACAGCUGCAAAGGAGAGGAUGGACUCAAAGCAUCACUGCGCAGUGCGACUGCUGAGCCCGUGGGGUGAAAGCAUGCUGGAUUGGAGAUGCUGGAAGAAAGCACAAGCAGUCCUUCAAGAUGAGGUAGGAGGGAUGGCAGUAACAGAAGAGCACAGCUGAAUCUCAAGAUCUCAAGCAAAGACAGCAGGAGUCUGAGCAUUUAAAUAUGCCUUCGCCAUGCUGGAGCAUUCCAAGCAGUGUGUUCUUCAAGUUUGGAAAGGCCAUGUAAGAUUUCAGUGCAUCGGCUCAGCCUGGAGGACAAGAGGACACAGACCUCAGAGCAAGGAGGGCCCUUACCCAUCAGUGACUGCUCCAUGGAUGGUGGCACGGAGCGCAGUGGAGACAACAUCUACAACUGGAAGAGCUCACAGCGCCACUGUGUUAAAGAACAAAGAGAGCCAUGAGUGUUCCCAGGCAGCAGCCGGAGCGCAGGUAAGUGUGGAGCAGCCAGCAGGGAUGCAAGCAUGCUCAGCAAAAGAGGACAAGCCUGAAAGUAAGUCUGAAAUCCUUUGGGAAUUUUCCUCACCUCUUCAGAAAUAUGAUCAACGUUUGCCACUCUUCUGAGGCUCUAGUUCAACAUUAUUACUGCACAUCACUCACCUGUACAAGGACAAAUGGGUCUCUCCAUGGAGAACAGGUUCCCAGGUGCUGUGCUGUAGCCUGGAUGCUGAGCUCAGUGGGGCACUGCUGAUUUCCACCUUUUUCCAGCACUUUUUAAACAGCGUGUCUCCAGUAGAACACCUCCCAGGGUAUUUUCACAUGGAAACACCCCUUUCCCAGCGAACUGUCAGGGGGUAACAUGAAUUAUUUUAAUGGCCGCAUCACUUCAGCCAAAGCCUCCACCAUCUGCUAUACAUUCUAAUUACAAAUGCAGAAACCAUAAUUAGCAAUCAAAUCACAUUCAAAAAAAAAAAAAAAAGAAAGAAAAUGAGCAAUUAAAAUGCACAUUCUGCCAGGCAAAUCCACCUCCUCAGCCAGUGCAUCCACCACAUCACUUGCCUGUUACAGACGGGCUGAAUUAGUCCCAGGCCAUUGGAGACUUCAGUCCUGCUGGUUUCCCUGACAGCAGCUUCCAGGCUUGAUCUUCUCAUCUUCCAGGGAUGCUCUGCAGCUCCAGCCUGCUGUUGUAUGUGUUGGUGUCUUGCUAACGCUCGGGGUGAUUUUUUUUUUUUGAGGGAUCAGUUUACUUUUCCAAUGUCUAGACGUACCUUGUUGUUCCCUGCGCCCUGCCUCUUCUGGGGUUCUCACAGCUUAUGUGUCAAGAAAAGCUUGAGUGUUUCAGAGCAAUAUGCAGGGAUUGAUGGUGACACAUUUGCAAGAAAACACCCCAGGCUGAAUUCAUCUUCAGUGCAGCGCUGCUGCACUUAGCAACCUCAUCAUCCUCUCUGUAACAUUCAUUUUGAAAUGUGCAUUAACAUUCAAGCGUCGUUUAUACUCUGUAAGUAAUCCAACCCUACAGAGGGCUUUUCUCACAUGUUCAAAACUCCAAAGUCUCCUGGAAACACAGCCAUUAGGAAGGGCUGGAGCCUGGAGGGAUAUAUGAAGAGGGAGGCUUUGCUGGGAGCUGGGGAAGCCUGUGGCUGCUGUGCUUUGUCCCAUGAGAUGGAGGACAGACAGCUCCGCCCGACAGACGCCAAUGCUUUUAGGCAGCCCAAGAGCACAUCGUGUCCAGCCCUGGGAAUCAGGGUCAGCAGCCUGCAGUGGCUCAGAGCAGAGGGAGGAAACUUUGCUUGGCUAAUUCAAAGGAAAACUUUGCUCGAGGGAUUCAAAGCUCUGCCUCUGAAGCGACUGCAGCCCUUUUUCCUAUGGCACACUCCCACUCCUGUGUGGGUGGAGAAAAACUCCUCUGAGGCAGCACUGCAGUCUCCUUCUGAUCUUCCUGCCUGCCUGGCCCUGCUCAGAGCCAUUAAAGUCUCUCUUUUUGGCAAUAGCAGGUUCCAUGUGGAGCUCAGGGGACACACAGCGGGCAGUUCCCACUGUCCCCUGCCCACAGCCGUGCUGUACGGCGCAGCUAGUGUGCCGGGCAGCACUGAGGGCCUUACGUAUGUACAGCUGACUCCUAUUGCAUCUUUUUGUCUUGAAAGUAUAUAUCAUCUUACCACAGGUUAAGAGCUCACAGCUAAACCUGACCCUACUGCUCAGUGUCGGCACUCAGAGGCAAACACACAAAAGCUAAUUUUCACAUCUGCUGCUUCAGCUGUAAAUCAUUUCUCAUUUUCCCUCUAAAAGGCUGCUCAGGUAAUUCUCCCCCAGCUGCCUCUCAGCGCUGCUCCCUGAGAUCCUCAUUGGCAAGGAGAGCACAAGGCACCCAGACCUCGGAAAUGUUUCAAGGCUUCACACCGGUUUUACGCUAUCUUGCAGCGAAGCGGCAGAUGGGAUUCUGGACUGAUCAAUAUCCUAAGUAGAGCCAAGUGCCGGAUCACUGAUCUGAGCUGAAAGAAUAAAUGGUGAAUCAAAGGAAUACACAAGUACCAUCAGUUCUGGGAGGCAGUUCUCUCCCUGCACCAGCCCAGCUGCUGUGCCUAAGGAGCAACCCCCGUCCUGCUCACAGUUCGGGGAUUAUAAAAGCCAAACAAAGGACAUGCAACAAGUUAUAAAUUCAGAGGAGUUCUUCCUGAGUGCCCAACAGCAGCUGAACUGUAGUUACGGUUAUUAUGCAGAGACAGACAUAAAACUAUAAUGCGGAUCAGCAUGUUUUAUCGCAGUCAUUUGACAACAUGCCAAGUCCAUGCAGCUUAGCUGUUACCUUUCUACAGCUCGCAGGGAUUUACCAUAGUUUCAGCUUAAUCUGGGAUUUUAUUAUGUAGUUAUUUCAAUCUCACUUUGAUAAUGGCACUCCAAACGGUGAUAAAACAAAGGAAGAUCGUAUUUAGAUACAGCAGUGAUGAAUAAUGUUAGAAACACCUAAAGCAGAAACGGAAUGCAUCUAUCUGUUCUGUUUUGCUGUACUCAGUGGAAAACAUCGAGAGAGCCUUUAUGAAGCAUUCUAUGAGUGAUAAAGACAUAGCUCCUACUGGUGGCUGAGAUGAGUGCUUAAUUGGAUGUUCCCUGUCCUCAUUACUUAUCCAUGUGAGCAUUUCUCACCCAUCACUGGUCUGAAAGCCAGCAGAGGCCAUGAGACCACUUUUUCUGAGCCCAUGACUCAGACCAGGCACUAAUCUGGCUAUGCAAAGUCCUCCACACAUUUUGCCCAGGUACAGUGCUUGUUCCAGCAAGACAAACCUCCUGCAUCAGGAGCUCCUACUCCCUUAUUUUAUCCUGAACAGAAUCUGGGAUUCUUACCUGAGACCAAACCUCAGUGCUCCCUGCAUCACCGUGGUGGGACGUGAGGCUGAUGCUCGGAACACACCACUUUUCUCUCUGAUCCUGUCGUUUAGAUUCAAACAGGAGUUAUUUAAUCUGUUCUUCUCCAUGACCAUGCAAUGCUGCUGGUUCGAAAAGCAGAUUUUUCUACAGCCUUGUAACAAGGAGAUAAGAGACUGGCAGCGGAUAAAACUACUUAAUAGCAAUUGUCUGCUGCCACGACUGCACAGAGCACGAAGGGCAGCAGCUCCACUGAAACAAGAGAUGAGCACAGGGUGCAGGCAGGAGCCAGCCCUGCAGCUGCUCUCUGGGAUGGUGGUACUGCAGGGAGAGCCGUGCAGGAGGCUCCAAGCAGAGCAGCCACGCUGACUGCUGAGAAUCAGUUCAUCCUCUUCCCCAGCACGUCUUGCUCUCUGCAGGUUACACCAGUAACAGACUGCCAGGGCCACAGCCUCAGGCAUAAGUUACCAAUGACAGCAGCACCCCCAAGAAGGGGGACCUGGAGCUGCAGCCUCCCACUCUUUGGCACAGAAAUUGGAGAGGAUUUUUGCUGGGCAAACGAUCCCUGCUGUAUGAAAAUGCAACAUUUAUUUCAAAAGCAUGAAAUAAAGAGUUUUACUUAAAAUCAAGCCAUAAAUCUGUGGGCAUGCUGCAAGAGAAUGAAAGCUCUUAUCAAUAUUUAUACUUACCUCCUCAAAGAACACAGGAGCUCAUUUACUAAAUAUCUUUGAGAAAUCAAGCCUUCAGCCAGACACAGGCCAGAGGAGGCAUUUUUGCCAGGCAGGAUGCUUCAGGAAUCAUCUUAACAAGGAAAAGCUCCACAGGAGAGCACCGUUCUCAAAGCUGCCCACUACUGCUUCACACAUGAUGCACCAAGUGCAGGACACCAGGCCUGGGAGAGGAUGCACCAGCAGGGGAUCUGUCUGCAGAUCCACUCCAGCUCCUGUUGGCUUCAGUGAGGCUUGGAGCCACCCCAUGGAAAUGUCAGAUAUCAUUAAUACAUCAAACACAACAUCAAUAUACACUGGCCCUUGGAUACAGCCAAACACAGCUAAUGGAAGCCACUCCAUAAGGCUCUAUGGUGCAUAAUCAGCAGCCAUCCCCAUGGCCUGCCCACAACCCCACAGGGCUGGCAGUUGGGUCACGUACUGCAUCAACAGGUAGAGACCUGGCUCUCCAUCUCUUCUAGAUCAUGAGACCGAAGGCCUUCCAGGUGGGAGCUGCAGUUUUCAUCAUCAAGUCUGUUUCCAGCACAGCAGCACAUGGCAUCUCCUGUGUCCUGCUGCAAUAAUUGAAAGUUAAAUUGAAAAUAAUUGCAAACGUAAAUCCUCCCUCUCCCAAUCUGCAGGAAAUUGAUACAGGCGAAAGGCAGGUGAUGAUUCAUUCACUUGCUAUCUCAGAGCCCAACGCUCCUUCCCCCAGAGCAGCACAGAACACACUUUGCCACCCACCUGAACACUGAUAAAAGUUGAAUACAACUACCUGUGAUUGAUGCCUCUCCUCACAUGUACACUCCAACCACAACCUGGAUAAUGUGUAGCGUUAUUAAAGCAUCAAUUAUCUUCAGCACAAGUGGAGCUACAUUAGCAGGGCUGCAUUCUGUUCAUUUUGAUAAGGCUUUCUCUGUUCGUUUAUCAACAAAAUGGGGACACCAGCAGGGCAGGGAUCCUGCAGGGUUUAACUCUGCUAGGAUGGAGCUGACACUCACAUCCUCCGUAAGUGCACUGUCAACAACAGCACCCUGAUUGAGAGGGUUUAUUUCUCAGGAAUUUGGCACAGCAGCCUGUGGAGAGCCCGUGUUCAUCCCUGACAGAUGUUCCAGCUAUACGGAUGGGCUGAGUUCACUGGGUCGCAGUGUGAUGCCUGACCAAUAGCUCCAGAUCCCCAGGCAGAAGGGCCAGAGACACCAGGCUGAGCAGCUGGUGUUCCCACACAGCUCAGGUUCUGCUCCUCUCUUGUGCAUGCAGGACGGUGGCUUAGAAACCACAGGGAAGCAAGGCAGCUACCUCUGAAGCCGUGCACAAACCGCAUCACCGUUCACCAGCUCUGAAGAGAAGCUUCCCUCUGUUGUUUCUCCCUUCUGGCUCUAAGAGUUGUGGUUCUCUCCAAGCCCAGGGAUAAGGCUACAAAACUACAGAAAAGCAGUUCCUUUUAGUUACAGACCUAAAAGUUCCUUCAUAAACUACACCCAGAUAGACACGGCUUAUUAAUAGCAGUAAAUCCACAAGUCCAGUAGACUUCUGUUAAUGGUUAUUGAUUGUAGUAGUGCUGGAGAAGGCUGGUGUCAGUCAAACUGAUGUCCAGUAGUCCUCCUUUGUCUGAGCAGGGCUGUCAAUUACACAAGAGCUCAUCUGUUUUUCAAAACCAGGCAGCAGAAAGGUGGUCACAGCUGCACUGCAGGGCUAGGAGACCCCCUUAAUGCUGAUAGCAGCUGUCAUCAAGGCCAAGCACUCCUUACUGGUUGGCUUGACCUGUGGGUCCAGGCCUCUUGAAGCUAAACCAAGGCUUAUCACAGCUUACUGUCCAGUCACUGUACACUGAGAGGAGCAGCAGCCACUAACCCUCCAGCUCACCCAGAGAUCCACAGAGCAGAGGACUCCCAUUUGGCUAAGAAGACAGGCAGGGAUUCCUGUUGGACACUUCCAAAUACCAGAGAUGUCCAAAUGUGUGGUGUGAAAUGCUAUCUUACAGGCAGAUCUGAUUUCUUAGGAGGCCAUUGCCAGACUACAGCCGAGCCUUCUUAUGUCCCCAUGCUGGAAGAGGACAGCCAUGAGCACUGACUGCCCCGAGCAGACAGCCCUGCAUUCAGAGCAAGCCUGCACUCGAGCUGCAUUUGCACUUCUCCAUCUGUUUACAGUCACUUCCUUCUAUCCCCCAGUGAAUAUCUUAAAAAAUCUAAGCUGCUUAACGCAAACACCAUGGGCACCUGGACCUCAAACUCACAUGAUAGAUCUCAUCAUGCUCUUGGUGAGCGGUGUGACUUCUUACCUUUGAGCUAGGAUGACAUUAAAGAGCUUUUAAAUGAAUGAAAGCUCAGAGGAGUAAACCAAGGACAGUCCACUGCAAACUGGAGACCUUUUCACUGUCCUCUGGUGGGGGAAUAAGGCAGUAAGAGGUCAGGGAGGCAGACGACGUCAGUACUUUCAUAAAACCACCCUUUCUGCUCACUGAAAUAACAACAAAAACAAAACACAGCAGCUCUGUCUCCCUUCCUACAUCUGAUAACAAUCAAAUAAUAACGGGAGUGACUUAUGCGCUCUCUGCCUGGUACUUCAAUCUGGCCUCCCAGUUAAUACACGCUAUGAUUAAAGCAUCUAUAAUCUGCAGUCCGUGGAGACCUGUAGAGCGCAGCAGCAGCGGCUGUGCAGCCUGAUAAGGGUUGUUCACUCUGUGCAGAUGAAACUUUCAAUAUUUAUAACUGCUGAUUUAUUUUAUCCCAGUAGCUCCUAUU
RNA transcript from Gallus gallus (chicken), 6952 nucleotides. RefSeq lists it as uncharacterized. The transcript has 5 exons. The record is from RefSeq and is a predicted model, not a curated record. Lineage: Eukaryota; Metazoa; Chordata; Aves; Galliformes; Phasianidae.